Long non-coding RNA from Rhineura floridana, 505 nucleotides. RefSeq lists it as uncharacterized. The transcript is spliced from 3 exons. The record is from RefSeq and is a predicted model, not a curated record. NCBI's taxonomy places the organism in Eukaryota, Metazoa, Chordata, Lepidosauria, Squamata, Rhineuridae.
GAGGGGGAAUUUUUCACUUAAUGGAGCUGGCUGGUAAAGACAGCCAACCUAUCCCUUGAUACUGAAGUUCCUGUUCUACCUCAUUUACUGCCACAAUCCUCCAUAAACCAAAGGGAGCACAACAAGCCUAAUGUAGCAUGAGGAGUGAGGCAGGGUUAACUCAGCUGAAGAGAUUUACAACAACCCUUGAGAACGGGCUUCAUAUCUGUGCAGUGCUUGAAGAGUUCUAAGUCCUUCUGGUGCAUGAUCUAGCUGUAAUCCUUACAGCAAAUGGCUUGGGUCAAGGGUAGCUGAGAGAUUGCUUCUGCUGCUGCUGUCCUACCUGUUCCUUAAGAUCAGAAGAAGAGAUCCUUCUCUGUGCCCCAACUAGAGCACAGCAAGUGAUGGCAGCAAGCGAUAGAGGACCUGACCCAAUGAGGAAGAUAAAUGCUUCUGUCCACCCUCUGACUUGAGCCUGGCAAGACUUUGGAUUUUGCAGUUCCUCCACCGCUAUGCCUCCCUCCCC